UCUUAUGCUUGCUUACCGUCUCAGUUGGUU
RNAcentral lists this non-coding RNA (30 nucleotides) under Mus musculus (house mouse). The record is from RNAcentral. Lineage: Eukaryota; Metazoa; Chordata; Mammalia; Rodentia; Muridae.